RNAcentral lists this ribosomal RNA (226 nucleotides) under uncultured Pseudomonadales bacterium. RNAcentral's name for it is "partial 16S ribosomal RNA". It matches the Rfam family "Bacterial small subunit ribosomal RNA", at positions 105 to 334 of the family's 1533-position model. Lineage: Bacteria; Pseudomonadati; Pseudomonadota; Gammaproteobacteria; Pseudomonadales. The record is from RNAcentral.
GGUGUGUAAUGCCUAGGAAUCUGCCUGGUAGUGGGGGACAACGUUUCGAAAGGAACGCUAAUACCGCAUACGUCCUACGGGAGAAAGCAGGGGACCUUCGGGCCUUGCGCUAUCAGAUGAGCCUAGGUCGGAUUAGCUAGUUGGUGAGGUAAUGGCUCACCAAGGCGACGAUCCGUAACUGGUCUGAGAGGAUGAUCAGUCACACUGGAACUGAGACACGGUCCAG